AACGCGAAGAACCUUACCUGGGCUCGAACGGCUGGUCAACGGGGGUGGAAACGCCUCUACUCCGCAAGGAGGUCCAGUCGAGGUGCUGCAUGGCUGUCGUCAGCUCGUGUCGUGAGAUGUUGGGUUAAGUCCCGCAACGAGCGCAACCCUUGUCCUGUGUUGCCAUUCCGCAAGGAGGAACUCGCAGGAGACCGCCAGCGAUAAGCUGGAGGAAGGUGGGGAUGACGUCAAGUCCUCAUGGCCUUUAUGUCCAGGGCUACACACGUGCUACAAUGGCCGGUACAAAGCGCUGCUAAGCCGCGAGGUGGAGCCAAUCGCAAAAAACCGGUCUCAGUUCGGAUUGCAGGCUGCAACUCGCCUGCAUGAAGCUGGAAUCGCUAGUAAUGGCGUAUCAGAACGAUGCCGUGAAUACGUUCCCGGGCCUUGUA
RNAcentral lists this ribosomal RNA (428 nucleotides) under uncultured Acidobacterium sp. RNAcentral describes it as "bacterial SSU rRNA". It matches the Rfam family "Bacterial small subunit ribosomal RNA", at positions 958 to 1385 of the family's 1533-position model. Lineage: Bacteria; Pseudomonadati; Acidobacteriota; Terriglobia; Terriglobales; Acidobacteriaceae. The record is from RNAcentral.